GACGAACGCUGGCGGCGUGCUUAACACAUGCAAGUCGAACGGAAAGGCCCUGCUUUUGUGGGGUGCUCGAGUGGCGAACGGGUGAGUAACACGUGAGUAACCUGCCCUUGACUUUGUGAUAACUUCAGGAAACUGGGGCUAAUACCGGAUAGGAGCUCCUGCUGCAUGGUGGGGGUUGGAAAGUUUCGGCGGUUGGGGAUGGACUCGCGGCUUAUCAGCUUGUUGGUGGGGUAGUGGCUUUCCAAGGCUUUGACGGGUAGCCGGCCUGAGAGGGUGACCGGCCACAUUGGGACUGAGAUACGGCCCAGAAUCCUACGGGAGGCAGCAGUGGGGAAUAUUGCACAAUGGGCGGAAGCCUGAUGCAGCAACGCCGCGUGCGGGAUGACGGCCUUCGGGUUGUAAACCGCUUUCGCCUGUGACGAAGCGUGAGUGACGGUAAUGGGUAAAGAAGCACCGGCUAACUACGUG
RNAcentral lists this ribosomal RNA (468 nucleotides) under uncultured bacterium. RNAcentral describes it as "partial 16S ribosomal RNA". It matches the Rfam family "Bacterial small subunit ribosomal RNA", at positions 28 to 507 of the family's 1533-position model. The record is from RNAcentral.